Callithrix jacchus (white-tufted-ear marmoset) is the source of this 103-nucleotide small nuclear RNA. NCBI's taxonomy places the organism in Eukaryota, Metazoa, Chordata, Mammalia, Primates, Cebidae. The record is from Ensembl.
UUACUUUGGCAGCACAUGUACUAAAACUGGAACAAUACUGACAAAAUUAACAUGGCUUCUGUGCAAGGGUGACACACACAUUCAGAAAGCAUUCCAUAUUUUC